Molecule: long non-coding RNA, 679 nt
Organism: Manacus vitellinus (golden-collared manakin)
Lineage: Eukaryota; Metazoa; Chordata; Aves; Passeriformes; Pipridae
Exons: 3
Source: RefSeq, a predicted model, not a curated record
CAGCCCUACCUGAGGGGCGGCCGACUGCACGUACCUGACCACAUCAUCUGCUGCCCCCCGGGCUGGAGCUUAAAACUCCUAUCCACACUUUAAAAGUUGUAUCCAUCAGGGGUUUUUGUUUGGUUGGUUGGUUGGUUGUUUUGGUUUGUUAGUUUUUUGUUUUGGUUUCCGUUUGUUUGUUUGUGUUGUUGUUGUUAUUGUUUUGGUUUGCUGGGUCUUUUUAAGGUUUUGGAGUUGCAGAGAGCCCCUGGUGUGUGAGACACUUUGUGCCAUGACAUGGGCUCUCACUGUCAGUGAGGCCAGGUGUUGAAGCCGGGCUGCAUCGUACUAAAGGGAAACCCUCGCCCAACGAGGAUUUGGCCUUCAGAGAUCAAGAGCUGAUUUAAAACGGGUGUAUUCAUGCCAGUGUGAAUAGAAGAGCUGCCAAAAAUACAGAACAUUCAAGGAGAUACUUUUAAAGAAGGAGCCUGGUAUGAAAAUCACUCAAGGAAGGAUUGAUGUACCUUAAUUUGGAGGGAAUAUCAUCAAUGGAUGACACAAGCUGGAUAAGUGUUAACAGUUGCACUGAACCAAGCAGUUAACAACAUUGAUGUGAUUAAUAAUAAUAGACAACUACUUACAUGACUUUGAGACUUUAGAGCUCUGAGUUCCUAAAGGAGUCAAGGUGAGGAGAUAGUGG